RNAcentral lists this ribosomal RNA (259 nucleotides) under uncultured bacterium. RNAcentral's name for it is "partial 16S ribosomal RNA". It matches the Rfam family "Bacterial small subunit ribosomal RNA", at positions 95 to 354 of the family's 1533-position model. The record is from RNAcentral.
UUGGCGGACGGGUGAGUAACGCGUGGAUAACCUGCCGUAUACCGGGGGAUAACACUUAGAAAUAGGUGCUAAUACCGCAUAAGCGCACGGCUCCGCAUGGGGCAGUGUGAAAAAUUCCGGUGGUAUACGAUGGAUCCGCGUCUGAUUAGCUAGUUGGCGGGGUAACGGCCCACCAAGGCAGCGAUCAGUAGCCGGCCUGAGAGGGUGGACGGCCACAUUGGGACUGAGACACGGCCCAAACUCCUACGGGAGGCAGCAG